This 775-nucleotide ribosomal RNA is filed under the name uncultured Neocallimastigales. Its description in RNAcentral is "partial large subunit ribosomal RNA". It matches the Rfam family "Eukaryotic large subunit ribosomal RNA", at positions 24 to 643 of the family's 3401-position model. The record is from RNAcentral. Lineage: Eukaryota; Fungi; Neocallimastigomycota; Neocallimastigomycetes; Neocallimastigales.
UAUGUGAUCGUCUCUCGCAUAUCAAUAAGCGGAGGAAAAGAAACUAACAAGGAUUCCCCUAGUAACGGCGAGCUGAAGCGGGAAGAGCUCAAAUUUGAAAUCUUAAAGGGUUUCCCUUUACGAAUUGUAGUUUAAAGAAGUGUUUUCUGUUGAGGUUUUGGUAAAAGUUCUUUGGAAUAGGACAUCAUAGAGGGUGAGAAUCCCGUAUUUGACCUUUACUUUCAACUUUGUGAUACACUUUCAAAGAGUCGGAUUGUUUGGGAAUGCAGUCCAAAAUGGGUGGUAAAUUUCAUCUAAAGCUAAAUAUUGGCGAGAGACCGAUAGCGAACAAGUACCGUGAGGGAAAGAUGAAAAGAACUUUGAAAAGAGAGUUAAACAGUACGUGAAAUUGUCAAAAGGGAAGCGUUUGACACCAGUGUUGUUUUUCUGAAAAUCAAUUAAAGAACUGUUUAUGCUAAGUUGUUUAGACUUUAUCAGCUAACUGUUUAGUUUUGAGCUUUUCUUUAAUGCACUUUUCAGUUAACAAGUCAACAUCAAUUUCUUUUGCUGUAAAAAAGCUUGAGGAAGGUGGCUUGAGAUUCGUCUUAAGUGUUUAUAGCCUCUUGCCUAUGCAGUCGGAGAGAUUGAGGUCUGCAGCGUAGAUCCUUCGGGGCUAAAUGCAUUUGUGCUAAGUUAUAGCAUUUUAUAGACAACUUGUUGACUAUGAUUUGUCUUGUAGCUUACUCGCUUAUGUUAUUUUACCUACGCUUAGGAUGUUGACACACGCGCGUGCUCG